GACGUGCUAUGUAUAGAAUAUCCUCACUCCAGUUUUGCUUCAACGUUUAUCAAGUUUCCUUUUCCGUCGUAAUGAAACUAAAGUGAUAAGUCCUUCUCCCCACUGGUCAAAUUUUCUCGACAGUUAGACGUAGGCGUUAUAACACCCGAAACACUUGGUUACCAGCAAAUAACACAAUUUGCGUUUCCUACAUAAAAUAGCAAAAUUUUUUUAGAAUUUAUAGAAAUAUAAUUUCACUGCGAACAAUCAAAAUAUUACACGCGAAACUUAGAACUGCCCUCCCGUGUAUUUAUUUAUAGCUUUAAAUUAGUCGGUGUCAGGGUAGAAUGGUAGGACAAAGUCUUUUAAGUUGAAAAUAAAUCAGGGAAUUAUCAUAAACCACGUUUAUAUAUUUUUAAUCUUUUGUAACCAUGAUUACACAAUUUAGAAACAAGCAGCUCUUAGGCUGAAUUUCUUACCUUGCUCUACUCAUAUUAUACUCCUUCAUUUGGUUUUUUCAAGCACCUGGUUUGUGUAUUGGCAUCACUGGUUCUUGUAACUUAAUCUUAGGUUAAUAUUUUCAGAGCUUUAAAAUCCAUCGUAAUCCAAAGUACCCAAAUACUGUUUAAAACUGUGAUCCAACCUAAUUCUCUUCAUAUGAAGAAACACACAACAACUCGGAAUAACACUUUUAUUCCUUAAAUUGCAUUUUGGUGUUAUACAGUUUUGGUUGAUUCAAAAGUUAGGACCAAACUGAAUGAGCGUAUAGGAAUCCAUGUCCUCCUCAGACUCGACACCUCUCGAUUACUACUUUUGGGGGCAAGUCAAGAGCCUCGUUUACGAGACUCCGGCGGACGACCCAGAACAAAUUUGGCCAGAA
Molecule: long non-coding RNA, 859 nt
Organism: Zootermopsis nevadensis
Lineage: Eukaryota; Metazoa; Arthropoda; Insecta; Blattodea; Termopsidae
Source: RefSeq, a predicted model, not a curated record